AACGGUCUAUACCUGCGGUACCUGCGGAAGGAUCAUUACCAAGAGAAAUCUUUCAACACUGAAAGAUCUUUUCCUUUGUGCUGGCUUUGACCGUAUGUAAUUUUGGGACUUUAAAAUGGUUCGCAAGGGCCGGUCCCAAAAACAAUAUAUCAUCCUUAUGAAAUUUUUUCUGAACAAUUAAACAAAUGAUUUUAAUAAUCUGUUUAAAACAACUUUUAACAAUGGAUCUCUAGAUCGGAA
This 240-nucleotide unclassified non-coding RNA is filed under the name soil metagenome. RNAcentral describes it as "partial contains 5.8S ribosomal RNA, internal transcribed spacer 2, and large subunit ribosomal RNA". The record is from RNAcentral.